AAUUCUCCAGCUUUGUUUGGUUGAAAUGGCGUGCAAUUUAUCACCUGCAUUUGGGUUAAUAUAUUUAAAGGCUAUAAGCGUAUUUACCACGUAAUAGGAAAUUAUUCAUUAUCGAUGCAAUGGGAAUACCAGAAUGUAUUGUCACAUAUCUUACCGAUUGCUUUGCAAUUAUGACACAUUUUAUACCACCGGUCGUAUGAUGUGUUGAUUCCGAUAAUUUUAGUCUUAUAUGUUAUCUUUACAUUUUAUUAAUGAAACGAUAAUAAGGAAUUAGAUAAUAUGGAAAAAUAGUAGAAUAUAAAAUUAGGAAAUAGUUAUUUUCCUAAACAUUUGUGGAGGAAUAGUUUUUUAUUAACCAUAAGUAUAAAUCGCUGUAAUUUUGGUUUUUUAUUAUCAAUUUAUCCAAAUAACCCGAUAUUCCAUGAUUUUUGUAACAUUAUUUAUUCAACAUCGAAGGUUAGUGCAUGAGAACCUAUGUAUGUAUCAAAUAUUUUGGGAUAGGAAAAGAUGUUUCUAAUUUUAGAGUCUCUUCAAAGCAUUUGUGUAUGUUGAGGAAAAGAUGUUAUUAAUAUGUGUAUGAUGAAAAGAAUGUGUUAUUAAUAUGGAUAAUUGUCUAUUGUCACGCCCCGGGGCCGAUUUAAAAGCCAUUACUAUUUUUAAAACUCAGAGUCGCGGAAGAUGUACAAAAUUUUUUUUUUUUUUUUUUUGAAAACCUGGCCCACGUGACGUACAGACCCGCCACAAAUACAAAAUUCCUCUGUCCAUUCGGGCAGAGUCUCCUUUGUAUCUGCACGGCGUACCAACGGAUAUAACAGGAUCACAACAACAACCUACAUUUACCAAUCAGCAACCAAUUCAUGAUAUGCAUUUUCAUACAGCUAACAAUCCUUAGAAUGAUGCAUGCCUCUAAGCACUCCUUAGGCGCUGGAUGAUGCAAUGCACAAUACAACAACCAUCCUAUUUAAAAGUGCUCCCCACACAGAAGCUUUUUUUUUUGAACUCUAAUUCAUUCAUCAUGAAAAGCUAUUUGAAAACCUUUUGAAAACUGUUUCCCACACGGAAACUCUAUUUUGAAAACCGACUACCUCGAGGGGUAGAAAACCACGAUGCGUAAAUCCAUAAAUACAAAUCCGAGAACCACAAAGUAUACGAACAUCCCAAAACUGAAGAUCCAUAAACAAAAUCCACAAUUCCACAAAUUCACAAAUUCAACCAGCUCACAACAUUCAAACAUCAAGUAUGAUCAUCUAACUGAACCAUAUAAACUAAUUAGGCUAUAACAACAGAAUAGUAAGGAUAAAAACUAAAUCGAUAACCUGGGUUGGAAGCUCUAUCGACCGCUACGAACGUACCUCACGUCUCGUCCCAAAACUCAUCGCCUGCAAUACCUGAAAAAU
This 1397-nucleotide long non-coding RNA is filed under the name Ananas comosus (pineapple). RNAcentral describes it as "long non-coding RNA (ACOM_LNC022402)". The record is from RNAcentral. Lineage: Eukaryota; Viridiplantae; Streptophyta; Magnoliopsida; Poales; Bromeliaceae.